GAUGAACGCCGGCGGCGUGCCUAAUACAUGCCAGUCGAGCGAACAGACGAGGAGCUUGCUCCUCUGACGUUAGCGGCGGACGGGUGAGUAACACGUGGAUAACCUACCUAUAAGACUGGGAUAACUUCGGGAAACCGGAGCUAAUACCGGAUAAUAUAUUGAACCGCAUGGUUCAAUAGUGAAAGACGGUUUUGCUGUCACUUAUAGAUGGAUCCGCGCCGCAUUAGCUAGUUGGUAAGGUAACGGCUUACCAAGGCAACGAUGCGUAGCCGGCCUGAGAGCGUGAUCGGCCACACUGGAACUUAGACACGGUCCAGACUCCUACGGUAGGCAGCAGUAGGGAAUCUUCCGCCAUGGGCGAAAGCCUGACGGAGCAACGCCGCGUGAUUGAUGAAGGUCUUCGGAUCGUAAAACUUUGUUAUUAGGGAAGAACAAAUGUGUAAGUAACUAUGCACUUCUUGACGGUACCUAAUCAGAAAGCCACGGCUAACUACGUG
This 497-nucleotide ribosomal RNA is filed under the name uncultured bacterium. RNAcentral's name for it is "partial 16S ribosomal RNA". It matches the Rfam family "Bacterial small subunit ribosomal RNA", at positions 28 to 507 of the family's 1533-position model. The record is from RNAcentral.